CUCGUAGGCGGUUUGUCACGUCUGCUGUGAAAACUGGAGGCUCAACCUCCAGCCUGCAGUGGGUACGGGCAGACUAGAGUGCGGUAGGGGAGAUUGGAAUUCCUGGUGUAGCGGUGGAAUGCGCAGAUAUCAGGAGGAACACCGAUGGCGAAGGCAGAUCUCUGGGCCGUAACUGACGCUGAGGAGCGAAAGCAUGGGGAGCGAACA
This 207-nucleotide ribosomal RNA is filed under the name uncultured bacterium. RNAcentral's name for it is "partial 16S ribosomal RNA". It matches the Rfam family "Bacterial small subunit ribosomal RNA", at positions 568 to 774 of the family's 1533-position model. The record is from RNAcentral.